This 492-nucleotide ribosomal RNA is filed under the name uncultured bacterium. RNAcentral describes it as "partial 16S ribosomal RNA". It matches the Rfam family "Bacterial small subunit ribosomal RNA", at positions 29 to 507 of the family's 1533-position model. The record is from RNAcentral.
AGUGAACGCUGGCGGCAGGCCUAACACAUGCAAGUCGAACGGCAGCACAGUAAGAGCUCGCUUUUACGGGUGGCGACUGGCGGAUGGGUGAGGAAUACAUCGGAAUCCACUUUUUCGUGGGGGAUAACGUAGGGCAACAUACGCUAAUACCGCAUAUGAUCAACGGGUGAAAGCAGGGGAUCUUCGGACCUUGCGUGAUUCUAUGAGCUGAUGUCGGAUUAGCUAGUUGGCGGGGUAAAGGCCCACCAAGGCGACGAUCCGUAGCUGGUCUGAGAGGAUGAUCAGCCACACUGGAACUGAGACACGGUCCAGACUCCUACGGGAGGCAGCAGUGGGGAAUAUUGGACAAUGGGCGCAAGCCUGAUCCAGCCAUGCCGCGUGGGUGAAGAAGGUCUUCGGAUUGUAAAGCCCUUUUAUUGGGGAAGAAAAGCAGCAGGUUAAUACCCCGCUGUUCUGACGGUACCCAAAGAAUAAGCACCGGCUAACUUCGUG